UACGGAAGGCAGCAGUGGGGAAUAUUGCACAAUGGGCGCAAGCCUGAUGCAGCCAUGCCGCGUGUAUGAAGAAGGCCUUCGGGUUGUAAAGUACUUUCAGUCGUGAGGAAGGUGUUAAGGUUAAUAACCUUAGCAAUUGACGUUAGCGACAGAAGAGGCACCGGCUAACUCCGUGCCAGCAGCCGCGGUAAUACGGAGGGUGCGAGCGUUAAUCGGAAUUACUGGGCGUAAAGGGCACGCAGGCGGUUAAUUAAGUUGGAUGUGAAAUCCCCGGGCUUAACCUGGAAAUGGCAUUCAAGACUGGUUAGCUAGAGUCUUGUAGAGGGGGUAGAAUUCCAUGUGUAGCGGUGAAAUGCGUAGAGAUGUGGAGGAAUACCGGUGGCGAAGGCGGCCCCUGGGACAAAGACUGACGCUCAUGUGCGAAAGCGUGGGGAGCAAACAGGGAUUAGAUACC
This 454-nucleotide ribosomal RNA is filed under the name uncultured bacterium. RNAcentral describes it as "bacterial SSU rRNA". It matches the Rfam family "Bacterial small subunit ribosomal RNA", at positions 340 to 786 of the family's 1533-position model. The record is from RNAcentral.